CCGAGAACUACACUUUUUCACUUCCCGAGCUCCUCCAAACUGAAGAUGUCCAGGACCCUUGCGACGAUCCAAGAAUUUCACCUCUAACGUCGCAAUACGAGUGGCCCCGAUCGCUCCCUUCGACCAUUGCCUCGUCGUGAACGGAGACCGACGGAUGACGCGCGGACGAGGCCAUUUUCCAUCAUUCCAUGCUUUUCGUAUGCAAGCCGGCGGGGCUCGCUCUGAGCACUCUAAUUUUUU
Molecule: long non-coding RNA, 240 nt
Organism: Octopus sinensis (East Asian common octopus)
Lineage: Eukaryota; Metazoa; Mollusca; Cephalopoda; Octopoda; Octopodidae
Exons: 3
Source: RefSeq, a predicted model, not a curated record